CAGUAGCCGCGGGAAUACGAAGGGGGCUAGCGUUGUUCGGAAUUACUGGGCGUAAAGCGCACGCAGGCGGCUCGAUAAAUUAGAAGUGAAAGCCUUGGGCUUAACCUGAGAAUUGCUUUUAAGACUGUCGAGCUAGAAUCCAGAAGAGGGUAGUGGAAUUCCGAGUGUAGAGGUGAAAUUCGUAGAUAUUCGGAAGAACACCAGUGGCGAAGGCGACACACUGGCUCAUUACUGACGCUGAGGCUCGAGAGCGUGGGGAGCAAACAGGAUUAGAGACCCCUGUAGUCCCUGUCUCUUAUAC
Molecule: ribosomal RNA, 301 nt
Filed under: uncultured bacterium
Lineage: Bacteria
Description: partial 16S ribosomal RNA
Rfam family: Bacterial small subunit ribosomal RNA
Source: RNAcentral